UGUGUGUUAGUGGAAGCGUCUGGAAAGGCGUGCGAUACAGGGUGACAGCCCCGUACACAAAAAUGCACAUAUUGUGAGCUUGAUGAGUAGGGCGGGACACGUGGUAUCCUGUCUGAAUAUGGGGGGACCAUCCUCCAAGGCUAAAUACUCCUGACUGACCGAUAGUGAACCAGUACCGUGAGGGAAAGGCGAAAAGAACCCCGGCGAGGGGAGUGAAAAAGAACCUGAAACCGUGUACGUACAAGCAGUGGGAGCACGCUUAGGCGUGUGACUGCGUACCUUUUGUAUAAUGGGUCAGCGACUUAUAUUCUGUAGCAAGGUUAACCGAAUAGGGGAGCCGAAGGGAAACCGAGUCUUAACUGGGCGUUAAGUUGCAGGGUAUAGACCCGAAACCCGGUGAUCUAGCCAUGGGCAGGUUGAAGGUUGGGUAACACUAACUGGAGGACCGAACCGACUAAUGUUGAAAAAUUAGCGGAUGACUUGUGGCUGGGGGUGAAAGGCCAAUCAAACCGGGAGAUAGCUGGUUCUCCCCGAAAGCUAUUUAGGUAGCGCCUCGUGAAUUCAUCUCCGGGGGUAGAGCACUGUUUCGGCAAGGGGGUCAUCCCGACUUACCAACCCGAUGCAAACUGCGAAUACCGGAGAAUGUUAUCACGGGAGACACACGGCGGGUGCUAACGUCCGUCGUGAAGAGGGAAACAACCCAGACCGCCAGCUAAGGUCCCAAAGUCAUGGUUAAGUGGGAAACGAUGUGGGAAGGCCCAGACAGCCAGGAUGUUGGCUUAGAAGCAGCCAUCAUUUAAAGAAAGCGUAAUAGCUCACUGGUCGAGUCGGCCUGCGCGGAAGAUGUAACGGGGCUAAACCAU
RNAcentral lists this ribosomal RNA (863 nucleotides) under Shigella sonnei. RNAcentral's name for it is "partial 23S ribosomal RNA". It matches the Rfam family "Bacterial large subunit ribosomal RNA", at positions 323 to 1190 of the family's 2925-position model. Lineage: Bacteria; Pseudomonadati; Pseudomonadota; Gammaproteobacteria; Enterobacterales; Enterobacteriaceae. The record is from RNAcentral.